Non-coding RNA from Phrynosoma platyrhinos (Desert horned lizard), 72 nucleotides. NCBI's taxonomy places the organism in Eukaryota, Metazoa, Chordata, Lepidosauria, Squamata, Phrynosomatidae. The record is from the annotation of a GenBank genome assembly.
GCCAGUGUGGUAUAGUGGUUUGAGUGCUGGACUACAACUUUGGAGACCAAGGUUCAAUUCCCUGCUUAGCCA